RNAcentral lists this ribosomal RNA (862 nucleotides) under Pediococcus pentosaceus. RNAcentral's name for it is "bacterial SSU rRNA". It matches the Rfam family "Bacterial small subunit ribosomal RNA", at positions 48 to 863 of the family's 1533-position model. The record is from RNAcentral. Lineage: Bacteria; Bacillati; Bacillota; Bacilli; Lactobacillales; Lactobacillaceae.
CUAAUACAUGCAAGUCGAACGAACUUCCGUUAAUUGAUUAUGACGUACUUGUACUGAUUGAGAUUUUAACACGAAGUGAGUGGCGAACGGGUGAGUAACACGUGGGUAACCUGCCCAGAAGUAGGGGAUAACACCUGGAAACAGAUGCUAAUACCGUAUAACAGAGAAAACCGCAUGGUUUUCUUUUAAAAGAUGGCUCUGCUAUCACUUCUGGAUGGACCCGCGGCGUAUUAGCUAGUUGGUGAGGUAAAGGCUCACCAAGGCAGUGAUACGUAGCCGACCUGAGAGGGUAAUCGGCCACAUUGGGACUGAGACACGGCCCAGACUCCUACGGGAGGCAGCAGUAGGGAAUCUUCCACAAUGGACGCAAGUCUGAUGGAGCAACGCCGCGUGAGUGAAGAAGGGUUUCGGCUCGUAAAGCUCUGUUGUUAAAGAAGAACGUGGGUAAGAGUAACUGUUUACCCAGUGACGGUAUUUAACCAGAAAGCCACGGCUAACUACGUGCCAGCAGCCGCGGUAAUACGUAGGUGGCAAGCGUUAUCCGGAUUUAUUGGGCGUAAAGCGAGCGCAGGCGGUCUUUUAAGUCUAAUGUGAAAGCCUUCGGCUCAACCGAAGAAGUGCAUUGGAAACUGGGAGACUUGAGUGCAGAAGAGGACAGUGGAACUCCAUGUGUAGCGGUGAAAUGCGUAGAUAUAUGGAAGAACACCAGUGGCGAAGGCGGCUGUCUGGUCUGCAACUGACGCUGAGGCUCGAAAGCAUGGGUAGCGAACAGGAUUAGAUACCCUGGUAGUCCAUGCCGUAAACGAUGAUUACUAAGUGUUGGAGGGUUUCCGCCCCUUCAGUGCUGCAGCUAACGCAUUAA